This 470-nucleotide long non-coding RNA is filed under the name Nicotiana benthamiana. Its description in RNAcentral is "long non-coding RNA (NBEN_LNC032108)". Lineage: Eukaryota; Viridiplantae; Streptophyta; Magnoliopsida; Solanales; Solanaceae. The record is from RNAcentral.
AUGCUUGCAGGUAAACAAAUGGGAAACUAGGACACUAUAAGCAAGACUAUUUCAAUCUUCUACCAUUCUACUUCAACAGGAAACGUCAUUUACAAUGCAAAAUAGCACCACAUAGUUGACGGCAACCAAGAAUUUAAAGGUUGAGCAAGUCAAUAGACUACCUGAUAGCACCACAAGCUGCUUUGCGAAAAUAAGCAUGUGAGUGAAGCCGAUCUUGAAACUUCAGCAUUUCCACGUAGGUCCGCAGAGUCAUUUUCCUUAGGCAGUAAGAGUGGAAAUCGAAUUGGUCCUCUGUGAUAUCUGCAUAAUGCUUCUCGACUGCCAGAAAUUUCUUUAAGGCCCUUCCUAGCUCACCUUGAAUUGGUCCUCUGUGAUAUCCGCAUAAUGCUUCUCGACUGCAAGAAAUUUCUUUAAGGCCCUUCCUAGCUCACCUUGGCGAAAAUAGCUUUCCCCUGAUGCUAGUUCAUACC